GAUGCAACAGAGAAAAACCAACAAAAUUUACUUACUGUUAGUACUUAUUACAAUGAGGGACUAAGAUGGACAACCCAUGGCCCUUCAGCUAUUGGACUACAAUUCUCCUUAUCCCUAACAGUUGUCAUUCAAGCUUGAAUCAAGGAUAUGGAAGAAUCUUACAUCUGGGAGGCAACUGGUUCUUUACUUGAGAACAUGAACUUUCUGAAGGGACUUGAAAUUCUUUCUACUGAACCAAACAACUUUCAAUUCCAUCUCUGCAAUCAAUGUUCCAUAAUUCAACCCCAUUUCUUUACACUGCAAACCACUUGCUUCAUGAAGUAAAGCAGAGGCCAACAAAAUGCACAUGGUCUGUCUCACAAGUUCCAAUUUUUGUCCUGUGAUUUAAUAAUCAGUUUUGGGCUACAGCUGCUUUGUCUUCUUUGCCAAUUCUGCCAUUUGAAAUUCUACUGAUAUGCACACACCAAGCCCAAUGCUGUUAUAUGCCCAAACUUUCCACAUCAGUUUUUUUUAUUUCUAGCCAAGCAGUAUCAAACUCUUUUUGUGUAAAAAAGACAUUCUUCAAGCGGUCAAGGUCAGAUGGUGUUCACAUCUGCAGGAGGAGUGGCGGGAAGAUAUUCAAAUGAACUGGGAGAACGUGGGACCAUGUGACCAGCAAAGGGGUUAGGGGGGUGGGACUCUUGGGGUUUGUAUAACUGGGAAAAGAAUCCGGAAGUUCAGUUUUGGAAUUUCACUCAUCGUGUGCCAGUUUCCUCAUGCUAGUAAAGUAAAAUUAAAACCUGCUAGACAAUCUGGCCUGAGACCUCAACCUGCCGCUCCCCCACCACCCUUGAUAAUCCAAGGUGAAACCCACUAUGAAAUCAAGAAAAUCCUUGACUCUAGACUAUACAGAGGUCAAUUACAAUAUUUAGUCCACUGGAAGGGAUAUCCAGUAUCUGAAUCUACUUGGGUCAACAGUUGGAAAGUAAAUGCGGACAAUUUGAUUAAACAAUUUCACGACACUUUCCCUGACAAACCUAAAAAACCUCUUGGAGGGGGGAGAGGGGGGUAGAAGGGAAGUGUGGACCACUGACACUCUUCUUUAUUAAUUCUUUGUUUUCUUUCCUAGGAUAUAGCUUCUUUUCCAAGGGGGGACGCCUGUCAGGCCUGGAAACCAUACUAGACUUUAGGGUUCCAGACGCUGCCACAUUUUUCCCCUGAGGGGAAGAAGGGGGGUUGAGGGGUAUGGUAACAUUCUUCAAGCGGUCAAGGUCGGAUGGUGUUCACAUCUGCAGGAGUGGCGGGAAGAUAUUCGAAUGAACUGGGAGAAUGUGGGACCAUGUGACCAGCAAAGGGGUUAGGGGGGUGGGACUCUUGGGGUUUGUAUAACUGGGAAAAGAAUCCAGAAGUUCAGUUUUGGAAUUUCACUCAUCGUGUGCCAGUUUCCUCAUGCUAGUAAAGAACUCUGAAAGACAAUGGCUUCUGAGUUUUUUUUAUGCAGAAGAGGUUUUUCUGGAACCUUGACACCCACAUCAGUUUUUUAUUUCUAGUCAACAGUAGCAAACUCUUUUUGUGUAAAAAUAGA
Molecule: long non-coding RNA, 1564 nt
Organism: Ahaetulla prasina
Lineage: Eukaryota; Metazoa; Chordata; Lepidosauria; Squamata; Colubridae
Exons: 3
Source: RefSeq, a predicted model, not a curated record